RNAcentral lists this unclassified non-coding RNA (341 nucleotides) under soil metagenome. RNAcentral's name for it is "partial contains 5.8S ribosomal RNA, internal transcribed spacer 2, and large subunit ribosomal RNA". The stretch from base 1 to 120 matches the Rfam family "5.8S ribosomal RNA", at positions 35 to 154 of the family's 154-position model. The record is from RNAcentral.
GAUGAAGAACGUAGCGAAAUGCGAUAAGUAGUGUGAAUUGCAGAAUUCAGUGAAUCAUCGAAUCUUCGAACGCACAUUGCGCCCUUUGGUAUUCCAAAGGGCAUGCCUGUUCGAGCGUCAUUUGUACCCUCAAGCUUUGCUUGGUGUUGGGCGUCUUGUCUCUAGCUUUGCUGGAGACUCGCCUUAAAGUAAUUGGCAGCCGGCCUACUGGUUUCGGAGCGCAGCACAAGUCGCACUCUCUAUCAGCAAAGGUCUAGCAUCCAUUAAGCCUUUUUUUCAACUUUUGACCUCGGAUCAGGUAGGGAUACCCGCUGAACUUAAGCAUAUCAAUAAGCGGAGGA